This 600-nucleotide unclassified non-coding RNA is filed under the name Hevea brasiliensis (rubber tree). The record is from RNAcentral. Lineage: Eukaryota; Viridiplantae; Streptophyta; Magnoliopsida; Malpighiales; Euphorbiaceae.
GCAUUCUGCAACAUCUAUAACAACCAAAUAAGUACAAUUUUACUGCUCAACUCAUCAUUUAAAAAGACUUGUUUCAGAAGGUUAUAAACCAAGCUUUAGCUGUCUCAAUUCAAAAUGGCAGAGAGGACAGGAGGCUAGCCAUGCUGGAGAAGCAGGGCACAUGCUAAAUCUAGCAGCAUGAAGGCCUGAGAACUUUGCAUGUGCCCUUGUUCUCCAGCUUGGACUCUACCUCUUAUGAGCAUAAUAAAGUUCAAAAAAUGAAGAGAGGGCAUACCGUUGCAAGCUGUUGCAUUGUGAAGAACUUGGUCAGAGAAAGAUGGGGGGGUUCUCUUGUGAAGCAGAAGGGCAGAAAUCGGCAAACGUGCUACGAAGAAUAUGAAAGUAGGGAUGUUUAUGAGAAAUGAAAUUAACAUUACAUCAAUUGAGUUGCUUAAAUCAUCAAGCCAAAUGAACACACUGAAAAAAAAAUGGAAAUGAACAUUUCCAGGCUUCAAGAGGCUUGAAGGCAGAAAGGUCCAUGAUUGAAUGAUAUUUUGCAGAUGUGCUCUUGGAAGGCACUGCAGUCAACUUGGCAGUGGAUACAGCAACCUCUGGCUUUGA